AAAACAUUUCCUUUACGAAAAUUCUGAAGGUAGAGCCUGCUCAGUGAUAUAUAAAUAAACAGCCGCGGUAUUUUAACUGCGCGAAGGUAGCAUAAUUAAUUGUCUUUUAAUUGGUGACUUGUUUGAACGGCUUUAUGAGGAUUUAGCUUUUUUUAUCUUCAAAAGAACUUAUUAUCUUGGGUCAAAAAACCUAGAUUUGUUAAAAAGAAGAGAAGACCCUGAUGAGUUUUACAACUUUAUAGUUGUUUAAGUGGGGCUUUACAAUUUUCAGUAUAUUUGUAUCAGAUCCUACCUUGAGGAAAAAGGAAUAAAUUACCACAGGGAUAACAGGACAAAAUUUGCUAAGAGUACGUAUCUAAGCAAGGAACUGUUACCUCGAUGUUGAAUCAAAGUAAACUUUUAGGCGCAGAAGUUUUUGGAGUGGGUCUGUUCGACCUUUAAAACUUUACGUGAUUUGAGUU
RNAcentral lists this ribosomal RNA (461 nucleotides) under Thysanozoon brocchii. RNAcentral describes it as "partial large subunit ribosomal RNA". It matches the Rfam family "Bacterial large subunit ribosomal RNA", at positions 1810 to 2611 of the family's 2925-position model. Lineage: Eukaryota; Metazoa; Platyhelminthes; Polycladida; Pseudocerotidae. The record is from RNAcentral.